This 811-nucleotide long non-coding RNA is filed under the name Cavia porcellus (domestic guinea pig). Its description in RNAcentral is "lncRNA (ENSCPOG00000039529.1)". Lineage: Eukaryota; Metazoa; Chordata; Mammalia; Rodentia; Caviidae. The record is from RNAcentral.
AUGGCGCCAAACCUAGGACCAAUGGGCUACCCGUGCAUCCCUAAUGCCCUCCUUAGGUUCCACCCCAAACCGAGGCUACUUACAUACCCCCGCCAUGUGUCCGCCGGAGAGAUCUCCGGACACCAGCGGUGGGGGGUGCCGGUCAACUCUCUCUGUGUUCUCAGAAUAAAGGCCGCUUUUUGUUUUAUACUUCUCACCUUUUGGAAAUAUUUUUCACCUUUUGGAAAUAAUCCUAUCAUUUGGUGCCGUGACUCAGAUCGGCAGGCGAUUGACUCCUGGGACACACCCAGUGGAUUCCCCAGCCAAUUCACAAACCAGAUCACAUCCUGGAUUAAUUCCAUGCUUUUUCCUCUCCCGAGACGUCCUUGUGGCCAGCUGUCUGCACUCACCAUCGGCCAGAUUGAUUUCAGUCUCUCGACAACACCGGUCCAUCCUGCCUCCUACACGGCUUUCUGACAACCCCUUCCACUGUCUUGGCAAUGAUUUUAUUCUGGUUCUGACCAAUAUACCAUUGCUGAGCCCCUGAAAGAGGAAUGGGACCUGUAUAUUCCCUGCAGCAGGAACACUGGUCACCCUGACCUGUUUGCAGCCUCCCCUCCCCUGUGAGACCCAAGAUUGCAGGGUCCAACUGUCAUUGUCACCGCUGUGUCCCCAGCACUGAACAGCACAAGAUCAGGCACACUGAUGAAGCUCAUUGGAUCUUCGCUUGAAGAAUACAAAAGGUCCCCACUCCAGCCCCACCCCCUGCAAGUGUCCUCCACACCCAGAAGAAUCAGCUAAAAGAUUAAAAUACAAACCAAGCAUGAUAGUG